GAUCCGUGGCUCAGAGACGAACGUUAGCGGCGGGCCUAACACAUGCAAGUCGAACGGGAUCCUAGCUUGCUAGGUGAGAGUGGCGGACGGGUGAGUAACACGUGGGAAUCUGCCUUUUGGUUCGGGAUAACCGCGGGAAACUGCGGCUAAUACCGAAUGCCCUCGAGAGAGGAAAGAUUCAUCGCCAGAAGAGGAGCCCGCGUCCGAUUAGGUAGUUGGUGGGGUAAAGGCCUACCUAGCCGACGAUCGGUAGCUGGUCUGAGAGGAUGAUCAGCCACACUGGGACUGAGAUACGGCCCAGACUCCUACGGGAGGCAGCAGGUGGGGAAUUAUUGGACAAUGGGGGCAACCCUGAUCCAGCAAUGCCGCGUGAGUGAUGAAGGCCUUAGGGUUGUAAAGCUCUUUUGCCAGGGAAGAUGAUGACUGUACCUGGAGAAUAAGCCCCGGCUAACUUCGUG
Molecule: ribosomal RNA, 458 nt
Filed under: uncultured bacterium
Lineage: Bacteria
Description: bacterial SSU rRNA
Rfam family: Bacterial small subunit ribosomal RNA
Source: RNAcentral